CAGAACGAACGGUAGCGGCGUGAUUAGGCAUGCAAGUCGAACGUGAUCCUUGCUUCGGUGAGGUGAAAGUGGCGAAAGGGUGAGUAAUGCAUAGCUAACCUACCCCUGACCUUGGGAUAACCAGGAGAAAUCUUGGCUAAUACCAAAUAGGCUCGCUUGGUCGCAUGAUCGAGCGAGUAAAAGAGGCCUCUUAACAAUGCAUCUGGUUGGGGACGGGACUAUGUCCUAUCAGCUUGAUGGCGGGGUAACGGCCCACUAUGGCGAUGACGGGUAGCCGACCUGAGAGGGUGACCGGCCACACUGGGACUGAGAUACUGCCCAGACGCCUACGGGAGGCUGCAGUCGAGAAUCUUCCGCAAUGGGGGAAACCCUGACGGAGCGACGCCGCGUGCGGGAUGAAGGCCUUCGGGUUGUAAACCGCUGUCACAGGUUAAGAAAAGACUGGCGUUAACAGCGCUAGGCUUUGACAAAGGCCUGAGAGGAAGCCACGGCUAACUUCGUGCCAGCAGCCGCGGUAAGACGAAGGUGGCGACCGUUGUUCGGAAUCACUGGGCAUAAAGAGCACGUAGGCGGCAAAGUAAGUCGGGUGUGAAAUCCCUCGGCCCAACCGAGGAACUGCGCCCGAAACUACCUUGCUUGAGGAUGGAAGGGGAGCGUGGAAUUCCUGGUGGAGCGGUGAAAUGCGUUGAUAUCAGGAGGAACACCGGCGGCGAAGGCGACGCUCUGGUCCAUUUCUGACGCUGAGGUGCGAAAGCCAGGGGAGCAAACGGGAUUAGAUACCCCGGUAGUCCUGGCCGUAAACGAUGGGCACUAGGUAGGGGGGUACCCAAUGCCCUCCUGCUGGAGUUAAUAUAUUAAGUGCCCCGCCUGGGGAGUAUAGUCGCAAGGCUGAA
RNAcentral lists this ribosomal RNA (893 nucleotides) under uncultured bacterium. Its description in RNAcentral is "bacterial SSU rRNA". It matches the Rfam family "Bacterial small subunit ribosomal RNA", at positions 25 to 898 of the family's 1533-position model. The record is from RNAcentral.